CCUACGGGGGGCAGCAGUCGAGAAUCAUUCACAAUGGGGGAAACCCUGAUGGUGCGACGCCGCGUGGGGGAAUGAAGGUCUUCGGAUUGUAAACCCCUGUCAUGUGGGAGCAAAUUAAAAAGAUAGUACCACAAGAGGAAGAGACGGCUAACUCUGUGCCAGCAGCCGCGGUAAUACAGAGGUCUCAAGCGUUGUUCGGAAUCACUGGGCGUAAAGUGUGCGUAGGCUGUUUCGUAAGUCGUGUGUGAAAGGCGCGGGCUCAACCCGCGGACGGCACAUGAUACUGCGAGACUAGAGUAAUGGAGGGGGAACCGGAAUGCUCGGUGUAGCAGUGAAAUGCGUAGAUAUCGAGAGGAACACUCGUGGCGAAGGCGGGUUCCUGGACAUUAACUGACGCUGAGGCACGAAGGCCAGGGGAGCGAAAGGGAUUAGAUACCCCUGUAGUC
RNAcentral lists this ribosomal RNA (446 nucleotides) under uncultured bacterium. RNAcentral describes it as "partial 16S ribosomal RNA". It matches the Rfam family "Bacterial small subunit ribosomal RNA", at positions 338 to 795 of the family's 1533-position model. The record is from RNAcentral.